UUCUCCCUCGAUUCCAUUACUUAAUGCAUCGUAAAUUAUGCAAAUGUGGAGUGAAACAAGAGGAAUUAUUAAAACGCGCCUAUCUCUAACCUCGCGGACAUUACCGGGGGCAGGGCGGCCGCCCCCGAUAUUCGGGGUGGGUUGACUGUGAUGCGACACAUGUGACAUCCGCCUCUGAGUAAUGUAAACACAUAAAUGUUUCCCCCGAAUUUGCAUAUUCUCAACCCGCAAAAACACGAUUAAAAUCAGGUGGCGGCGGCUUCAACGGUCGCCGGUUUAGGAUUUCGGCCUAUAAUUGAUGCAAAAAGGUCACGAGGAAUCUUGACACAGUUCGUUUGGUGCAUUUUUUGUGCGUGUAAAUAAUGGAAUGGUGUCAUAUUCUGGGGUGAAGGGUUACCUGAACACAAUGAAAAACACCCUGAAGACAGACUUGGGGUGACGCGCAUAUAUUAUUAUGGGGUGGGAAAGGGUUGAAAAAACUAUGCAAAAAAGGGAGCCCGGAUACACAUUGUUGCGGAUCUGUCCGGAUGGCAUAAUAUGCAAAAUUCCCCUUAUUUGCCGGAACAACUAAGGGACCCAUUUUAAUAUAUGAGAUUCUCGCUUUGUUAACGUGUAUGAAUGCUUAACUAGAUGUAUUCACGGACACGAAUGCGACUGUCAUAACUGAACGGUUAUCAAUGAAGAAUUGAUGGUUUUGGCACACCCAGUGCGCACACAAACCAUAAACCCGAAAAACAUAAAUUCAAUCGGCUUUGUGCACAUCAGACGCUCCAGAUGAUGCGAAACCGGCGAAAAACUUUGAGCCCGACCUAGGCCACGACCGAUUUAUAAGGGAAAUAAUUAGGCAAAAUCUCGCACCAUCUCAAUCACCGGGAGCGACAAUUUGCUUAAUCGUGCGAAAAAUCUGCCACUAACCUGAAAACAGGCUCAAGUUUAUCUUUGAGAUUGUUCGUCGGGAAUUUAAAACUCCGCUAAACCUUGGCGGCGCAAGAGCAAACAAUAAUUAUAAAAUAAAAGCUAACCUGUAGAAUGCGCAUCUAAUCUCUUCUUUGUUUACAUUCAAUAAGUCAAGUUUGAAGGUAGCAAACACUCAAAGUCGCCCCUUUACUUCCUACCCAUGUUUACUAUUACUUUUUUAUUACUUGCUCCUGUACCGAAUUGAGCCGCCUCAUACAAUGACGGGAUUAAAUACUCAUCCCAUUGAAACACACAUGAUGGAUUAUACGGCCUGGCAUCGAGCUACUAUCCUGCCAUCAUUUGCGGUUAUAUUCGCUCCUGACAUCGGCGUUAAUUCAAUUUUCGAUCGAGAUAACAUCACGGGACGGUUGCGUUCUGCCAGGGAGGAAAUUUCAAAUGCUCGAAUUUUGUUUCACACAGAGUAGUUAGGACGUAAAAAUGGAGAUGCAAAGCAGAGGGAAGUUAUGCAAUUACGGCGGUGUUUUCGCCAAACUAGAGCCUGAUACCGGGAUAAACACGCUACUAGCCUCAACAAAUAAACUAUGAAACAAUAAAAGCUUCCCUAUUAAAGUUAGUUAAUUGACUCGUAGUCGUUUAAAACUUCGCUUGUUAGCCGAAAUUAAAAAAGUUCCUAAUUAGUCAUUUUUACAGCAAAACAAACAUGUCCCUUUUGACGUAAGUAUUUUACCAUUAAUUAUAAAAUUCAACUUCAUAUAGCCCCAAUUUAGCCCAGACGUUCCAGUAAUUAAUUGUCUCCAUCACGGACUUAACAACUGAAAGUGGCUCUUAAAAUUAAAUUUUAACACUGUAGAUUAGGACGUCCUUUCACUAACAGCAUCGUUAAUAAUUAAUACUUGAAUAAAGUGCCGAAAAUUACUAAUAAGGUGAGGAUUUGGCUCUUUGUGUGUUGACGAAUGGCUCAAAAAAGUGGCAUUAAUCUUGUAAACUGCCUUUUGAUUUUAUGGAUGGUUUUGUGUUAUGAAUGUUUGUUGGAUCAAUCUGAGUAUGGGAGUGGAGCGUCAUUUCCUGUAAGGGAAUAGGUUUGUAGAAAAAUUCAAAUCAAACGGCGCAGUUGAAAAGUUUAAUGCGAACACAUGUAGAGAAUAUGCAAUAAAGUUGUCAUCUGUGAGAAACACGGAAACAAAGUAUCAAAUAAAGUUGUUGACGCGUUUCAUGUGCCUCGAUAUUUCCAUACAUAUCUGUCGACAAAUUAUAUUUACGUUUAAAUCGAAUCCUUAUCGCGUGCAUGAACCGCCUGACGUAUUCACAUCUCAAUCCGUCUAAAAUCAAGUCAACUUUAUAUCCGAUUAUGUCUCAAAUAACUCGGUUUCAUGUAAAACGUACUUAUUCGGAGUCUAGGAGCGAAAAUCCAUAGUGCAAACCCCAGGUAGACGAUUUCCAACGCUCGGCUAGUUCUUUUUAUCGCCCGAAAUGAAUCCAGUUAGGCCAAAUCAAGGGUCGCUCCUCCCGUGCAAAAACAUAAUUAAUUUCCAACAACACUAUUCCGGCCCUGGCCGCUUUUCAAUUUGAGGGGAGGCGGAAGCUUUUCCGACUACAUGUUUUCCUCGCAUAAAAUAAAAUCAAUCGCCGGGUCACGUGCAGCUAACGUUUUAGGUUUGUGAUAUUUUACUUUAGUCCCGAGCGUCGAGCUUCUUAUUAUUCAGAAGACGUAAGUACAAGGGGACCCCUCAUAAAGGGCCCGGAAUCAAGCCCAACGCCCUCCCACACCAACGAUCGGUAACUUCAUCGGCAUUCAACGUGUUGUAUCGCACAGAAUUAUUAAUUAAACCCUUCAACCCUUCGCUCCCCGAUCGAUGGGCAAAUCUUCGUGUGAAAAAUUGAAUAUGCAUUAUCCCUUUACCUGUACUAUUGAACCCAAUCACCGGAAACGUAUGCAAAAGUAUUGAAUGGAUCCGAGGGUGAAAUAUCGGGGUGCUGCAUAUGCAACAUCUUAAAGACUCGCACGACACUCGAUCGGUUAUUUUAUUAUACCUCCGCACACCAAAUAAAUUAUAGAUUAUUCAAUUCAAUAGAUUUCACACGGAGUAACCGACAUUCACAACCGAACUCGCUCCGAAUUCGCAAUUUCUUUAUUUAAAAUUUAAACAAACAUUUGUGGUUUACUAUUGAUUGGCUUGCUUCCAUU
Tribolium castaneum (red flour beetle) is the source of this 3103-nucleotide long non-coding RNA. RefSeq lists it as uncharacterized. The record is from RefSeq and is a predicted model, not a curated record. Lineage: Eukaryota; Metazoa; Arthropoda; Insecta; Coleoptera; Tenebrionidae. The transcript has 3 exons.